This is a long non-coding RNA of Saccostrea cuccullata (small rock oyster), 428 nucleotides long. RefSeq lists it as uncharacterized. The transcript is spliced from 3 exons. The record is from RefSeq and is a predicted model, not a curated record. NCBI's taxonomy places the organism in Eukaryota, Metazoa, Mollusca, Bivalvia, Ostreida, Ostreidae.
CCCUUAUGUAGAUUUUUCAAAACUGUGGAAUAUGACUUAGUUUUUUCUCUAUCGACUACUUUUGUAGUACAAUUACAUCGGGAUCGAAGUCGGGCUCGAAAAGCAAUUAAUUUAAAAACAACACACCGCGCCGAAAUUCAAUUUUUUGGAGGGUUCCACGCAGCCAUGUUGAACUUGAUCAUGAUAUUGUACGGGAGGAAGGGGCGAAAGAGAGUGACGCGAAAAGGAGAAGCAUGAUUAACUUUGGAUGGAAUUUAUGUAUUAACAGAAGAUGAAGACAUUUACAUGUACGACCCUGCAUUAUUAGCGGUGCAGUGUGGACUGUGCCUGAGACGAUUCCCCACAGCGCCGGCUAUGUAGACAGCUUGUGAAAAUGGAAUCCAAAUGCUCACAAGAAAUGACAAAAGCAGCAUGAAGAUAAACACAAA